Molecule: ribosomal RNA, 765 nt
Filed under: uncultured bacterium
Lineage: Bacteria
Description: bacterial SSU rRNA
Rfam family: Bacterial small subunit ribosomal RNA
Source: RNAcentral
GGAACUAGAGACCGGCGCGCGGGUGCGUAACGCGUAUGCAAUCUACCUUUCACAGAGGGAUAGCCCAGAGAAAUUUGGAUUAAUACCUCAUAGUAUAAUGAGUUGGCAUCAACACAUUAUUAAAGUCACAACGGUGAAAGAUGAGCAUGCGUCCCAUUAGCUAGAUGGUAAGGUAACGGCUACCAUGGCAACGAUGGGUAGGGGUCCUGAGAGGGAGAUCCCCCACACUGGUACUGAGACACGGACCAGACUCCUACGGGAGGCAGCAGUGAGGAAUAUUGGACAAUGGGCGCAAGCCUGAUCCAGCCAUGCCGCGUGCAGGAUGACGGUCCUAUGGAUUGUAAACUGCUUUUGUACAGGAAGAAACACUGGUUCGUGAACCAGCUUGACGGUACUGUAAGAAUAAGGAUCGGCUAACUCCGUGCCAGCAGCCGCGGUAAUACGGAGGAUCCAAGCGUUAUCCGGAAUCAUUGGGUUUAAAGGGUCCGUAGGCGGUUUAGUAAGUCAGUGGUGAAAGCCCAUCGCUCAACGGUGGAACGGCCAUUGAUACUGCUAAACCUGAAUUAUUAGGAAGUAACUAGAAUAUGUAGUGUAGCGGUGAAAUGCUUAGAGAUUACAUGGAAUACCAAUUGCGAAGGCAGGUUACUACUAAUGGAUUGACGCUGAUGGACGAAAGCGUGGGUAGCGAACAGGAUUAGAUACCCUGGUAGUCCACGCCGUAAACGAUGGAUACUAGCUGUCGGAAGCGAUUUCAGUGGCUAAGCG